GGAUUGCCCUAGUAACGGCGAGUGAAGCGGCAACAGCUCAAAUUUGAAAUCUGGCUCUUUUAGGGUCCGAGUUGUAAUUUGCAGAGGGCGCUUUGGCGUUGGCAGCGGUCCAAGUUCUUUGGAACAGGACGUCACAGAGGGUGAGAAUCCCGUACGUGGUCGCUAGCCUUCGCCGUGUAAAGCCCCUUCGACGAGUCGAGUUGUUUGGGAAUGCAGCUCUAAAUGGGAGGUAAAUUUCUUCUAAAGCUAAAUACUGGCCAGAGACCGAUAGCGCACAAGUAGAGUGAUCGAAAGAUGAAAAGCACUUUGGAAAGAGAGUCAAAUAGCACGUGAAAUUGUUGAAAGGGAAGCGCUUGCAGCCAGACUUGCCUGUAGUUGCUUAUCCGGACUUUUGUCCGGUGCACUCUUCUGCGGGCAGGCCAGCAUCAGUUUAGGCGGUUGGAUAAAGGUCUCUAUCACGUACCUCCCUUCGGGGUUGGCCUUAUAGGGGAGACGACAUGCAACCAGCCUGAACUGAGGUCCGCGCAUCUGCUAGGAUGCUGGCGUAAUGGCUGUAAGCGGCCCGUCUUGAAACACGGACCAAGGAGUCUAACAUCUAUGCGAGUGUUUGGGUGUCAAGCCCAGACGCGUAAUGAAAGUGAACGGAGGUGGGAACCUUUUAGGUGCACCAUCGACCGAUCCUGAUGUCUUCGGAUGGAUUUGAGUAAGAGCAUGGCUGUUGGGACCCGAAAGAUGGUGAACUAUGCUUGAAUAGGGUGAAGCCAGAGGAAACUCUGGUGGAGGCUCGCAGCGGUUCUGACGUGCAAAUCGAUCGUCAAAUUUGGGCAUAGGGCGAAAGACUAAUCGAACUAUCUAGUAGCUGGUU
RNAcentral lists this ribosomal RNA (865 nucleotides) under Septoriella neoarundinis. RNAcentral's name for it is "eukaryotic LSU rRNA". It matches the Rfam family "Eukaryotic large subunit ribosomal RNA", at positions 72 to 956 of the family's 3401-position model. The record is from RNAcentral. Lineage: Eukaryota; Fungi; Ascomycota; Dothideomycetes; Pleosporales; Phaeosphaeriaceae.